Molecule: ribosomal RNA, 912 nt
Filed under: Enterobacter hormaechei
Lineage: Bacteria; Pseudomonadati; Pseudomonadota; Gammaproteobacteria; Enterobacterales; Enterobacteriaceae
Also listed under: 2 other names
Description: partial 23S ribosomal RNA
Rfam family: Bacterial large subunit ribosomal RNA
Source: RNAcentral
AAUGGGUCAGCGACUUAUAUUCUGUAGCAAGGUUAACCGUAUAGGGGAGCCGAAGGGAAACCGAGUCUUAACUGGGCGUUAAGUUGCAGGGUAUAGACCCGAAACCCGGUGAUCUAGCCAUGGGCAGGUUGAAGGUUGGGUAACACUAACUGGAGGACCGAACCGACUAAUGUUGAAAAAUUAGCGGAUGACCUGUGGCUGGGGGUGAAAGGCCAAUCAAACCGGGAGAUAGCUGGUUCUCCCCGAAAGCUAUUUAGGUAGCGCCUCGUGAACUCAUCUUCGGGGGUAGAGCACUGUUUCGGCUAGGGGGCCAUCCCGGCUUACCAACCCGAUGCAAACUACGAAUACCGAAGAAUGUUAUCACGGGAGACACACGGCGGGUGCUAACGUCCGUCGUGAAGAGGGAAACAACCCAGACCGCCAGCUAAGGUCCCAAAGUCAUGGUUAAGUGGGAAACGAUGUGGGAAGGCACAGACAGCCAGGAUGUUGGCUUAGAAGCAGCCAUCAUUUAAAGAAAGCGUAAUAGCUCACUGGUCGAGUCGGCCUGCGCGGAAGAUGUAACGGGGCUAAACCAUGCACCGAAGCUGCGGCAGCGACACUAUGUGUUGUUGGGUAGGGGAGCGUUCUGUAAGCCGUUGAAGGUGUGCUGUGAGGCAUGCUGGAGGUAUCAGAAGUGCGAAUGCUGACAUAAGUAACGAUAAAGCGGGUGAAAAGCCCGCUCGCCGGAAGACCAAGGGUUCCUGUCCAACGUUAAUCGGGGCAGGGUGAGUCGACCCCUAAGGCGAGGCCGAAAGGCGUAGUCGAUGGGAAACAGGUUAAUAUUCCUGUACUUGGUGUUACUGCGAAGGGGGGACGGAGAAGGCUAUGUCAGCCGGGCGACGGUUGUCCCGGUUUAAGCAUGUAGGCGGAGGU